This 62-nucleotide transfer RNA is filed under the name Taeniothrips tigris. RNAcentral describes it as "tRNA-Trp". Lineage: Eukaryota; Metazoa; Arthropoda; Insecta; Thysanoptera; Thripidae. The record is from RNAcentral.
GAAAUUUUAAGUUAAACAAACUAUUAAUUUUCAAAAUUAAAAAUAAUAAAAAUUAAAUUUCA